GAUGAACGCUGGCGGCGUGCCUAAUACAUGCAAGUCGAGCGAACGGACGAGAAGCUUGCUUCUCUGAUGUUAGCGGCGGACGGGUGAGUAACACGUGGAUAACCUACCUAUAAGACUGGGAUAACUUCGGGAAACCGGAGCUAAUACCGGAUAAUAUUUUGAACCGCAUGGUUCAAAAGUGAAAGACGGUCUUGCUGUCACUUAUAGAUGGAUCCGCGCUGCAUUAGCUAGUUGGUAAGGUAACGGCUUACCAAGGCAACGAUGCAUAGCCGACCUGAGAGGGUGAUCGGCCACACUGGAACUGAGACACGGUCCAGACUCCUACGGGAGGCAACAGUAGGGAAUCUUCCGCAAUGGGCGAAAGCCUGACGGAGCAACGCCGCGUGAGUGAUGAAGGUCUUCGGAUCGUAAAACUCUGUUAUUAGGGAAGAACAUAUGUGUAAGUAACUGUGCACAUCUUGACGGUACCUAAUCAGAAAGCCGCGGCUAACUACGUG
This 497-nucleotide ribosomal RNA is filed under the name uncultured bacterium. RNAcentral describes it as "partial 16S ribosomal RNA". It matches the Rfam family "Bacterial small subunit ribosomal RNA", at positions 28 to 507 of the family's 1533-position model. The record is from RNAcentral.